This 392-nucleotide ribosomal RNA is filed under the name uncultured Gammaproteobacteria bacterium. RNAcentral describes it as "bacterial SSU rRNA". It matches the Rfam family "Bacterial small subunit ribosomal RNA", at positions 370 to 779 of the family's 1533-position model. The record is from RNAcentral. Lineage: Bacteria; Pseudomonadati; Pseudomonadota; Gammaproteobacteria.
AAUGGGGGAAACCCUCAUGCAGCGAUGCCGCGUGAGUGAAGAAGGCCCUUGGGUUGUAAAACUCUUUCGUCGGGGAAGAAAAUGACUGUACCCGAAUAAGAAGGUCCGGCUAACUUCGUGCCAGCAGCCGCGGUAAUACGAAGGGACCUAGCGUAGUUCGGAAUUACUGGGCUUAAAGAGCUCGUAGGUGGUUAAAAAAGUUGAUGGUGAAAUCCCAAGGCUCUACCUUGGAACUGCCAUCAAAACUUUUUAGCUAGAGUGUGAUAGAGGUAAGUGGAAUUUCUAGUGUAGAGGUGAAAUUCGUAGAUAUUAGAAAGAACACCAAAUGCGAAGGCAACUUACUGGGUCACUACUGACACUGAGGAGCGAAAGCAUGGGUAGCGAAGAGGAUU